RNAcentral lists this ribosomal RNA (294 nucleotides) under Patella caerulea. RNAcentral's name for it is "partial 12S ribosomal RNA". Lineage: Eukaryota; Metazoa; Mollusca; Gastropoda; Patellidae. The record is from RNAcentral.
GCUUUAGCCAGCUAGGGGAACCUGUCCUUUAAUUCGAUAGUCCACGAAAAUCUUACCUAUUUUAGUUAUCAGUUUGUAUACCGUCGUCGAAAGCUAGCACCAAAAGGGGUCAGAAGCUAGCAAAAAAGAUUUUUCUCUUAGAAGUCAGAUCAAGGUACAGCUUAUAAGUAGGGAGGAGAUGGGUUACAAUUAAUAAAUUCUAUUGGAGUCCUAAUGAAAUUUAGUUGAUAGAAAGAGGACUUAGAAGUAAUUUCUUAAUUAAGGUUAAGAGGUGAAAUAGGCUCUAGAGCGUGU